Schistosoma rodhaini is the source of this 78-nucleotide non-coding RNA. The record is from Rfam. Lineage: Eukaryota; Metazoa; Platyhelminthes; Trematoda; Strigeidida; Schistosomatidae.
AGCUUUCUGAGUCCAUACCGAGAUUUUUUCAGAUGCCAACUUGCCAGGACUGAUGAGACUUCUAAGAUACGUGAAGCA